CCCCCUCCCUUUUGUGUAUUUGCUAUCGCAAAUUGUUUAUUAAUUAUAAAGCAGAGGUAUUGUUUUUAUAUGGUGGAAGAGAUGUGUUUUUGGUGGUUCAGAGGAUGUUUGUUGAUAAAGUCAAGAUGUUUUUUGUAUAUUGAGGUGACCAAAGGUGGAAAUCCUCCUAAGUUCGAAGACUAUCAAAUAUGCGAUAAUUUGCACGGAGUUCAGUUGUGUACUCCUCCAAUCCUGUAAUAUUGUGCAUCAGAUAGUUUAUAAGGUUUGAACCAGGGAUGCUUAUGCUUUGGGACCAAGUUAAAAGCAAGAACAAAGGAGUGGCCCAUCUUUCAUAUGUUUGCAAAAUGUUUUUAUGAUAACUUUGUUAUUAAAUUUUGGAUGGAGGCAAUUUGGACUAACCAUGUAUAGUUUCUGUCUCUUUGUGUUUUGAAGGCAAUUUUGUGGUUUAAAUUAUGAUUCUUCAUUUUUUUUGCAAAAUUACCUAGACAUUUUCUUUACAUCACUCAGAGGCACAAGGGAUCUGUGCACUAAAUUUUGGUUUUCAAAUUCUGAAGGAGCUGAUCAAUUGUGAGGAUUUAUUGAAAUGGAUCUACACACAACCUAAAAUAGAUGCAUUUUGCGAAAAUGCUGGUUCAAUUGCACAAAACUCUAGCAAGCUAUACAUAGAACCUUUUAACAACCAGAUUUUUGGAAAAAAAAAAAAUCUUCUAGGUUUUCGUAAGAUCUUUACAAAAAGCUAGUUCUAUGAUUAUUUACUUUAGAAAGUCGCACAAGAAAUCAAAUAAAAGUUCUUAAGAAGCGUUAAGAAAUCUUGGGGUUUAGGAGAAUCAAUGGUGAGAAUGGAAGGGUUGUGAUGGCUAAAACAUCAGACGUGAAUUUAUGCAAGUGUCUUGAGACACUUAAGAUAUAAAGAAAGGGUAAAUCUUUUGUUCUUUUGAUUUGCAAUAUAUCAUUUAUGCUCCUAAUUUAGUUACUUUUAGCGUGUGGCUUUUUUUUUUUUUUUGGUAAAGAGGGGAGCCAGUGGCUAUGUGUCAAUGAAAUGAAGAAGAGUGCAACUGAGAGUAGCUAAUUACAUAAAGUGAGAAUCCAAAAGAGAAAACUUCCUGCAAAUAAAACAAAGGCAGGAACAGAUCAUGUAGAAGUAAGAGUGCACAGCAACAAGUCUUAUGAACAAAAAGAACUUCUGUAUAAUUACAUAAGUACUAAAAUCAUAUAGCAACAAAGAACUAAGUGAGGAUGUAGCAACUGUCGGAUGAUGAGUGGACAAGG
Molecule: long non-coding RNA, 1269 nt
Filed under: Elaeis guineensis (African oil palm)
Lineage: Eukaryota; Viridiplantae; Streptophyta; Magnoliopsida; Arecales; Arecaceae
Description: long non-coding RNA (EGUI_LNC025230)
Source: RNAcentral